ACGGAAGGCAGCAGUGAGGAAUAUUGGUCAAUGGGCGAGAGCCUGAACCAGCCAAGUAGCGUGAAGGAAGACGGCCCUACGGGUUGUAAACUUCUUUUGUCCGGGGGUAAAGUGAGCCACGCGUGGUUCAUUGCAAGUACCGGUUGAAUAAGCAUCGGCUAACUCCGUGCCAGCAGCCGCGGUAAUACGGAGGAUGCGAGCGUUAUCCGGAUUUAUUGGGUUUAAAGGGAGCGUAGGCUGGCUGUUAAGUCAGCGGUUAAAUAGUGUGGCUCAACCAUGCCAUGCCGUUGAAACUGGCAGUCUUGAGUGCGCAAGAGGUGGAUGGAAUUUAGGGUGUAGCGGUGAAAUGCUUAGAUAUGACACAGAACACCGAUUGCGAAGGCAGCGUACUGGGACGCGACUGACGCUGAGGCACGAAAGUGCGGGGAUCGAACAGGAUUAGAUACCCUGGUA
RNAcentral lists this ribosomal RNA (453 nucleotides) under uncultured Prevotellaceae bacterium. Its description in RNAcentral is "bacterial SSU rRNA". It matches the Rfam family "Bacterial small subunit ribosomal RNA", at positions 341 to 792 of the family's 1533-position model. The record is from RNAcentral. Lineage: Bacteria; Pseudomonadati; Bacteroidota; Bacteroidia; Bacteroidales; Prevotellaceae.